GUCUCGUGGCUCAACUGGUCGAGUAUGAGACUUUUAAUCUCAGGGUUGUGAGUUCAAGCCUCACUAUGGGCA
Podarcis lilfordi (Lilford's wall lizard) is the source of this 72-nucleotide non-coding RNA. The record is from the annotation of a GenBank genome assembly. Lineage: Eukaryota; Metazoa; Chordata; Lepidosauria; Squamata; Lacertidae.